GGGAUAACAGUUAGAAAUGACUGCUAAUACCGCAUAAGCGCACAGGACCGCAUGGUCCGGUGUGAAAAACUCCGGUGGUAUGAGAUGGACCCGCGUCUGAUUAGCUGGUUGGCGGGGUAACGGCCCACCAAGGCGACGAUCAGUAGCCGACCUGAGAGGGUGGCCGGCCACAUUGGGACUGAGACACGGCCCAAACUCCUACGGGAGGCAGCAGUGGGGAAUAUUGCACAAUGGGGGAAACCCUGAUGCAGCAACGCCGCGUGAGUGAAGAAGUAUUUCGGUAUGUAAAGCUCUAUCAGCAGGGAAGAAAAAAGACGGUACCUGACUAAGAAGCCCCGGCUAACUACGUGCCAGCAGCCGCGGUAAUACGUAGGGGGCAAGCGUUAUCCGGAUUUACUGGGUGUAAAGGGAGCGUAGACGGCAUAGCAAGUCUGAAGUGAAAGCCCGUGGCUCAACCGCGGAACUGCUUUGGAAACUGUUAAGCUGGAGUACUGGAGAGGCAAGCGGAAUUCCUAGUGUAGCGGUGAAAUGCGUAGAUAUUAGGAGGAACACCAGUGGCGAAGGCGGCUUGCUGGACAGAGACUGACGUUGAGGCUCGAAAGCGUGGGGAGCAAACAGGAUUAGAUACCCUGGUAGUCCACGCGGUAAACGAUGAAUGCUAGGUGUUGGCGGGCAAAGCCCGUCGGUGCCGCCG
This 694-nucleotide ribosomal RNA is filed under the name uncultured bacterium. RNAcentral's name for it is "bacterial SSU rRNA". It matches the Rfam family "Bacterial small subunit ribosomal RNA", at positions 140 to 851 of the family's 1533-position model. The record is from RNAcentral.